Clupea harengus (Atlantic herring) is the source of this 675-nucleotide long non-coding RNA. RefSeq lists it as uncharacterized. The transcript is spliced from 2 exons. Lineage: Eukaryota; Metazoa; Chordata; Actinopteri; Clupeiformes; Clupeidae. The record is from RefSeq and is a predicted model, not a curated record.
GCCAACAUUUUGAAGAUAUUGGCUGUUAGCAAUGUUUCUUCAGAACAAAAUGGAAGGUCUGACCAUAUUUAUUCAAUCUUUAAUCUUGCUGUUAAGAAUGGAAGAAUAACACCUAAAGGAGGACAAUGAGACGAGAGUGGCGGUUACCUCCUGAGAAUUCCCCUGAAAAGAGUCUGCUGUGCAGUGGGGCAAUGAAGAACCUUAUUGGAAUGAUCAUGUAAGAAGGGGCCCCUGCGGACAGAGGGAGACGCAGAGAGGUUGUUCAGCCGGGAACUGUAAUGGUAAGUUAGCAAAUUAUGAGAAUGUGCCUUUAUGGGCCAAAUGAAGCAUGUAUACAGAGGCGCAUAUCUUAACAUAAUGUAUAUCUUUUGUGCUUCUGAUUGCAAGAGAAAUUGUAUAUGCUUCCUAAGCAGUGUACCCAUUUUUCACUGAGCAACAUAUUUAUUAAACAUAAUAUAUACAUACUAUAUCUAACUACAGCAUACAACUUUAUCUCAAACAAAUCACAACACAGUGAAACACACAUUUAAUAUUUUAGUCGUUUUACUCUUUUUUUUUUUUUACUGGGGUUGCUAGCACCUUGCUCCACCAGCACUAACAGACAUACCAUUCUGUCUGGUAAACAGUUUUAACAUUUUGUGGUAAGGUUUCAGUAUAGUAAUUUAUUAUUUAAAA